This 2443-nucleotide long non-coding RNA is filed under the name Zea mays. Its description in RNAcentral is "long non-coding RNA (ZMAY_LNC002158)". The record is from RNAcentral. Lineage: Eukaryota; Viridiplantae; Streptophyta; Magnoliopsida; Poales; Poaceae.
AUUGAUGAUGAUUAUGAUUCGAGUAUGGCUCUGUAACACCCCGGGAUCCACAAACACCCCAGAAUGCUACUAAACUACACAUCUAACAUUCGUAUAUAAAAUUUCGACAGCAUCUCCUUUGAAAAUUGCAUAAACAGGGAAGCAACAAAGUAUAAAUAGAUAUCAUGAUAAGAAAACAUAAUAGGCAUUAAUAGUCUGCUAGCAAUGGGAAGACAACCAUAACGGCAUGAGCUAAAUUAACCAGUGCGCCCAACUAGUUAGAAACAAACAUCCUUUGACAAGAAGCUUCUAAUUAAAUCAUGACUGCGCCUAAACAGCGUUAUUAUAAGAGUGAAGGUGGAUGUGCUGCUACUUCCCACUUCCCUUGAUGAGCAACAAGCACCUGCAUUAAGUAAUGCAAGAGUGAGAUGAAACAUCUCAGCAAGCGAAUUAUUUUGAUGAGAUAUUUAAACCACAAAUUGAAUUCAUCAACAUUUUAAAAGAGUCACAAUUAAAAUAAGAAAUACUUAUAGAUAUAGAACUCAGUAGUCCCACUAUAACCAAUACCAUCUCAUUUCCUCGAACAACCACAAUAUGUUCUAUAACACUUCCCUGCGUCAACAAUAUACCUACAAAUAUCACUUCAAUUUAUGCAUAAGAAUGCAAUGUGUAGGUACUCUAUCUUCAUACCUCUGAGGGUAUAAAACCACAUCAUCUGCAAAUAUCACUUCAAUGAAUUCAUAUGAAUGCAAUGCAUAUGUCCUCUGCCUUCAUACCUCGAAGGGUAUGAAGCCGCAUCGUACCCCUCCUCGGGCAACGUACGAUGCUAAAUUGUACCAGUACGGUCGGACCAUAGGUCACGACAAAACUUCAGAUGCAAAUGAGUCAUGCAAUGUAUAUGGCAUGCUGCAUUUAUCAAUAAACUUCACUUUCUUCAGAUACAAUACAAACCUCAAAUAAUACUUUAUUUACCUUUAGAUACAAUACCAACCUCAAAUAAUACUUCAUUUACCUUUAGGGGUGUGAAUUAAUCUCAUAAAUCAUACUCGAAUCAUAAUCAUCAUCAAUAUAUGAUUGAGCAUCAGUAUAAUUCAAGCAAGUAAAGCAUCAUCAUAGAGUCCAAUUAUGAAAGAAUCCAAUACUUCUGAAUAUUAGAGUGUAGGCAAUAGAAAUAACAGGUCAGAACGGAAGCAACCACUGUUACAUUCACUUGCCUUCAUCGAAGAAGAAAAAUGUACUAGGCAUGAUCAAGAGUGUAGCCACCUGCUAGCGGGCAUAAAACUUAGUACAAAUAUUUCACAAACAUUUGCCAACAAUGAACAAAUCGCUCCUACACCUGAAACCAAGACCUGGUGGAAAACCUCCCACUCUGAACCACAUGUCAUACAGCAGCAACGCUGUUUGUUAAUUUUGUAUCUUUAAAAUUAUAACAGUGGUGAUAUCAAACAAAUACUCUAGGAGUAUCUACACAAAAUACUCUACAACUUUACCAUUCGAUGGAUAAUUAAAUUCUGCCAUCUAUAAGUUCUAAAACAUCUGACAAGAUAACUGACUGAAUCUGUUUUAGACAGCAGCAUAAUUAACUUUCAAAAUUCGAUAUCUCACAAACUACUCAACCAAAAAUCAUGAAAUUCUGCUGGAAAUAAGAACUUUUAUCCCUCUACAAAAGUCUCCAUAGCUAGGAGAGCCAAUUCGGCCAUUUACCUGAUGAAACCUACUUGUGAACAGACCCGCUCAUUUCUGUCAGGCCAACAGAAACAGCUACAGUAAAACAAACAUAACUGGAGUUUCAUAAUUCAUAUGAAUGCACUCUUUAAAAAUCUGGAAAGGUUAUGAAUUUAUCUACAUCUUCCCUUACAAACCCAAGGUUUAAUUCUGUUGAUAAAAUUGCCUAAAUCUUAAGAGAACAGAUUCUGCACAGAAUUAAGAGACUGAAAAACUGCUAUAAUCAAAUUGCAAUAACUCUCUGAUCUGAUGUCCGAUUGAGGUGUUCUUCGCGGCCACGGAAAGAUCUACAAAUUAUCUACGACUCAUAUACAGAAUUUUUAUUUUUUUGAGGCCACUAAGACCACGGAAAACUGGUAUGAACAGAAACUGUCGAAUCUGCCAUUCUGCAGAAAACUAAAUUCGAGAUCAAAACCUAACCCCACAUCUAAUCCAACCUCUAAUCCUUUAAUUCCCAUGAUCCACAACCUCCAAAAGCACAAAAUUACAGAGAGGAACAAGGAUCUCAUCCAUACCUAGGGUUUCCCCAAGAAAUUCUGCAAGAAGAGAUGGGGAAGAACAUCUCCUUGAUCCUCUCUUCCCCUUCAAUUCAACAUGCUCCUCCUCUUCUCGAUCCUUCUUGUGCGGGGGAGAUCUAGAGGGAGGAGGAAGCCGUGGAGAGGGGUUUCCAUGGGAGGAGAGGAAGGCCAGCCCAAGGGGAAAGGAGGGAGGGGCGGCCAAGUGUGGGAGGGGGGGAAGG